UGCCAGCAGCCGCGGUAAUACGGGGGGUGCAAGCGUUAUUCGGAAUCAUUGGGCGUAAAGGGCACGCAGGCGGCCUGGUAAGUCAGAUGUGAAAGCCCGGGGCUUAACCCCGGAAGUGCAUUUGAAACUAUCAGGCUUGAGUAUGGGAGAGGGAAGUGGAAUUCCUGGUGUAGAGGUGAAAUUCGUAGAUAUCAGGAGGAACACCGGUGGCGAAGGCGACUUCCUGGACCAAUACUGACGCUGAGGUGCGAAGGCGUGGGGAGCAAACAGGAUUAGAUA
RNAcentral lists this ribosomal RNA (279 nucleotides) under uncultured bacterium. RNAcentral describes it as "partial 16S ribosomal RNA". It matches the Rfam family "Bacterial small subunit ribosomal RNA", at positions 506 to 784 of the family's 1533-position model. The record is from RNAcentral.